Molecule: ribosomal RNA, 1431 nt
Filed under: Klebsiella pneumoniae
Lineage: Bacteria; Pseudomonadati; Pseudomonadota; Gammaproteobacteria; Enterobacterales; Enterobacteriaceae
Description: bacterial LSU rRNA
Rfam family: Bacterial large subunit ribosomal RNA
Source: RNAcentral
GGGUUGUGAGGUUAAGCGACUAAGCGUACACGGUGGAUGCCCUGGCAGUCAGAGGCGAUGAAGGACGUGCUAAUCUGCGAAAAGCGUCGGUAAGGUGAUAUGAACCGUUAUAACCGGCGAUGUCCGAAUGGGGAAACCCAGUGCAAUUCGUUGCACUAUCGUUAACUGAAUACAUAGGUUAACGAGGCGAACCGGGGGAACUGAAACAUCUAAGUACCCCGAGGAAAAGAAAUCAACCGAGAUUCCCCCAGUAGCGGCGAGCGAACGGGGAGCAGCCCAGAGUCUGAAUCAGCUUGUGUGUUAGUGGAACGGUCUGGAAAGUCCGACGGUACAGGGUGAUAGUCCCGUACACCAAAAUGCACAGGUUGUGAACUCGAAGAGUAGGGCGGGACACGUGGUAUCCUGUCUGAAUAUGGGGGGACCAUCCUCCAAGGCUAAAUACUCCUGACUGACCGAUAGUGAACCAGUACCGUGAGGGAAAGGCGAAAAGAACCCCGGCGAGGGGAGUGAAAAAGAACCUGAAACCGUGUACGUACAAGCAGUGGGAGCACCUUCGGGUGUGACUGCGUACCUUUUGUAUAAUGGGUCAGCGACUUAUAUUCUGUAGCAAGGUUAACCGUAUAGGGGAGCCGCAGGGAAACCGAGUCUUAACUGGGCGUUAAGUUGCAGGGUAUAGACCCGAAACCCGGUGAUCUAGCCAUGGGCAGGUUGAAGGUUGGGUAACACUAACUGGAGGACCGAACCGACUAAUGUUGAAAAAUUAGCGGAUGACUUGUGGCUGGGGGUGAAAGGCCAAUCAAACCGGGAGAUAGCUGGUUCUCCCCGAAAGCUAUUUAGGUAGCGCCUCGUGAACUCAUCUUCGGGGGUAGAGCACUGUUUCGGCUAGGGGGUCAUCCCGACUUACCAACCCGAUGCAAACUACGAAUACCGAAGAAUGUUAUCACGGGAGACACACGGCGGGUGCUAACGUCCGUCGUGAAGAGGGAAACAACCCAGACCGCCAGCUAAGGUCCCAAAGUCAUGGUUAAGUGGGAAACGAUGUGGGAAGGCACAGACAGCCAGGAUGUUGGCUUAGAAGCAGCCAUCAUUUAAAGAAAGCGUAAUAGCUCACUGGUCGAGUCGGCCUGCGCGGAAGAUGUAACGGGGCUAAACCAUGCACCGAAGCUGCGGCAGCGACACUAUGUGUUGUUGGGUAGGGGAGCGUUCUGUAAGCCUGCGAAGGUGACCUGUGAGGGUUGCUGGAGGUAUCAGAAGUGCGAAUGCUGACAUAAGUAACGAUAAAGCGGGUGAAAAGCCCGCUCGCCGGAAGACCAAGGGUUCCUGUCCAACGUUAAUCGGGGCAGGGUGAGUCGACCCCUAAGGCGAGGCCGAAAGGCGUAGUCGAUGGGAAACAGGUUAAUAUUCCUGUACUUGGUGUUACUGCGAAGGGGG